This 254-nucleotide ribosomal RNA is filed under the name uncultured bacterium. Its description in RNAcentral is "partial 16S ribosomal RNA". It matches the Rfam family "Bacterial small subunit ribosomal RNA", at positions 524 to 776 of the family's 1533-position model. The record is from RNAcentral.
UACGAAGGGGGCUAGCGUUGCUCGGAAUCACUGGGCGUAAAGCGCACGUAGGUGGGUCGCUAAGUCGGGGGUGAAAUCCUGGAGCUCAACUCCAGAACUGCCUUCGAUACUGGCGAUCUUUGAGUCCGGGAGAGGUGGGUGGAACUGCGAGUGUAGAGGUGAAAUUCGUAGAUAUUCGCAAGAACACCAGUGGCGAAGGCGGCUCACUGGCCCGGUACUGACGCUGAGGUGCGAAAGCGUGGGGAGCAAACAGG